UUCCGCGAAUCAUCGAGUCUUUGAACGCAAGUUGCGCCCGAGGCUUGACCAAGGGCAUUUCUGCCAGAGCGUCACC
This 76-nucleotide ribosomal RNA is filed under the name Brothera leana. RNAcentral's name for it is "partial 5.8S ribosomal RNA". It matches the Rfam family "5.8S ribosomal RNA", at positions 80 to 154 of the family's 154-position model. Rfam says of the family: 5.8S ribosomal RNA (5.8S rRNA) is a component of the large subunit of the eukaryotic ribosome. Lineage: Eukaryota; Viridiplantae; Streptophyta; Bryopsida; Dicranales; Leucobryaceae. The record is from RNAcentral.